GACGAACGCUGGCGGCGUGCUUAACACAUGCAAGUCGAACGGAAAGGCCCUGCUUUUGUUGUGUGCUCGAGUGGCGAACGGGUGAGUAACACGUGAGUAACCUGCCCUUGACUUUGGGAUAACUUCACGAAACUGGGGCUAAUACCGCAUAGGAUCUCCUGCUCCAUGGGGUUGGUUGGAAAGUUUCGGCGGUUGUGGAUGUACUCGCUGCUUAUCAGCUUGUUUGGGUGGUAGUGGCUUACGAAGUCUUUGACGGGUAGGCGGCCUGGGAGGGGUAACGGCGACAUUGGGCCUGAGAGAGGGCGCAGACUGGUACGUGACGCAGUAGUGGGGAGUAUUGCAGAAUGGGGGGAAGUGUGAGGUAGCAACGUCGCGUGCGGAAUGCUGGGUUUUGGGUGGUAAACAGCUUUGGAAGGUGACGAAGCGUGAGUGACGGUAAUUGGUAAAGAAGCACCGGCUAACUACGUG
This 468-nucleotide ribosomal RNA is filed under the name uncultured bacterium. Its description in RNAcentral is "partial 16S ribosomal RNA". It matches the Rfam family "Bacterial small subunit ribosomal RNA", at positions 28 to 507 of the family's 1533-position model. The record is from RNAcentral.